ACAGCAGUAGCCGCGGGAAUACAGAGGGUGCGAGCGUUAAUCGGAUUUACUGGGCGUAAAGCGUGCGUAGGCGGCUUCUUAAGUCGGAUGUGAAAUCCCUGAGCUUAACUUAGGAAUUGCAUUCGAUACUGGGAAGCUAGAGUAUGGGAGAGGAUGGUAGAAUUCCAGGUGUAGCGGUGAAAUGCGUAGAGAUCUGGAGGAAUACCGAUGGCGAAGGCAGCCAUCUGGCCUAAUACUGACGCUGAGGUACGAAAGCGUGGGGAGCAAACAGGAUUAGAUACCCCAGUAGUCCCUGUCUCUUAUAC
This 305-nucleotide ribosomal RNA is filed under the name uncultured bacterium. Its description in RNAcentral is "partial 16S ribosomal RNA". It matches the Rfam family "Bacterial small subunit ribosomal RNA", at positions 508 to 807 of the family's 1533-position model. The record is from RNAcentral.